This 728-nucleotide long non-coding RNA is filed under the name Mytilus galloprovincialis (Mediterranean mussel). The record is from RNAcentral. Lineage: Eukaryota; Metazoa; Mollusca; Bivalvia; Mytilida; Mytilidae.
GUUCUUCUCAUAUAUUUUAUAAAAGUAUGAUACUAGACCCCUAACGGAAGGGAUUGUGCUUGAUAUUCAUAUGAUGAAUCUUUCAAUCAGUUUAAUUGAGGUCUGGAGCUGGCAUGUCAGUUAACUGCUAGUAGUCUGUUGUUAUUUAUGUAUUAUUGUCUUUUUAUUUAUUUUCUUUUGUUACAUCUUUCGACAUUGGACUCGUACUUUUCUUGAACAGAAUUUUAAUGUGAGUAUUGUUAUGCUUUUACUUUUCUACAUUGACUAGAUGUAUAGGGAGGUUGAGAUCUCAUAAACAUGUUUAACCCCGCCGCAAUUUUGCGCCUGUCCUAAGUCAGGAGCCUCUGGCCUUUGUUAGUCUUUAAUGAUUUUGAUUUUUGUUUCUUGUGUAUAAUUUGGAGAUUAGUAUGACGUCCAUUAUCACUGUACUAGAAUACAUAUUUUUGAGGGGCCAGCUGAAGGACGCCUACGGAUUCGGGAGUGUCUCGCUACAUUGAAGACCUAUUGGUGGCCUUCGGCUGCUGUCUGCUCUAUGGUCGGGUUAUUGUCGCGUCGACACAUUCCCCAUUUUCUUUCUCAGUUUUAUUGGGUUAAUUUCCUGGUCAAUUUUAGUCAUACAUAAUUUAAAAUAUGUUGUAACCAGUCCAAAGGAAACAUAAAACAUUCUGUUUCGUGUGUCCAAGGACAUUUAUUGAAUAAUCGUCAUCAGGAAGGCCUUAAACCGUAAC